GCUUACGGCCAUACACCUGGCUAUGCCCGAUCUCGUCUGAUCUCGGAAGCUAAAGCAGGUUUGGGCCUGGUUAGUACUUGGAUGGGAGACCGCCUGGGAAUACCAGGUGCUGUAAGCU
RNAcentral lists this ribosomal RNA (118 nucleotides) under Carassius auratus (goldfish). The record is from RNAcentral. Lineage: Eukaryota; Metazoa; Chordata; Actinopteri; Cypriniformes; Cyprinidae.